Molecule: long non-coding RNA, 23170 nt
Filed under: Marmota monax (woodchuck)
Lineage: Eukaryota; Metazoa; Chordata; Mammalia; Rodentia; Sciuridae
Source: RNAcentral
UAGGAAGCCACACCCCCUUCUCCGCCGGCAGGGGCGCAGCCAUUUUAAUUCAUAUCUGAGUGGGCGGUGGCGAUUCGUGUUGGCGGUCUGACUCCGCUGGGCAGGGGCUUACUUUGCUGGUUUGGGGGUUGUUUUUAGUUUAAUUUUUCUUUUCUAGCUUCCCAUCGUCCGCCAGUGCGCACGCUGUAAUCAUCUGAGGCCAUGUCAGGAGACGGAGCCACGGAGCAGGUGAGGAAGGAGAUUGCGGGGCCUCGUGGCGACCUCUUCUCACCACGAGUCUGUUAGUCCGAGUACUCCAGCCAUGUUCGUAGUUAGUGAACCCGAGGGACCCCGUAGUGAAGAGUGGUGGGAAAGGGGAACAUGAUCUAGAUUUAAAUAUAUAUUUUUUGAUUUUCUGUCUUAAGCGUUAAAACGAAUAAAUGUUGAACUUAGACAAUAGCUGGGAGGCUGCUUCGUCUUAGAUUCAUGGGAAUGCUCCGGUUGGGAUGUUUUUUAUUUGGUAUCAUUUUGGUGUUUGCCUGAUGAGGAAUUGGUUAUGUUAAUAUGUAUCUGCUGUUUCAAAAACUUGACAGUGUUUCCUUCGCGUCCGCCCUCCUCCACAAUACACGCUACGCAGAAAUAGGUUACUAGCUUGAGAACAAAAAUUUUGAGAUGAAACUAAUCCGGAAAAAUCCUUGAAAGAGUGAGUGAUAGAAGAAGCAGCCUAGAAAUACAGCAUGGUUAUGCUGAGGUUUGGGGAGUUCUGUGGCUUUCCUCACUUUUCUCCCUUUUAGCCACAUUUCAUUUUCGUUUUUGCGGCUACACAGACGUUGCAGAAUUUGAUAAAUCUAAAACGGGAUAUCUUUUUUGUUAUUGUAAAUAAAAGCCUCUGUUUUAGUAGUAGUAGAUAUGAGUGACAUUUAGAUAUUUUAAAAUUUACCUUCUUAAUUAAGUGGCUUGCUCUUUAUGUUCUGAAUUUUGUAGACUUAGAUUUACCUUUUCGUGUGAAAAGGAAACUAAUUUUAUGAAAGAGGUCAUUAAAUGUGCUUUUCGAUGUAAGGUCUGGUAUGUUUAGAUAUUUAUUUUUUGAUAUUAGUCUUGGUGGAACAGAUAGUUUUUAAAAUGGAGGAUAGCUUACAAAGUCUUUUUCUUGCAAUUUUCCAUUGCCAUAGCAACAAAAUACACUUAGUUCUCAGUUUAUAACGUGGAAUAGGUCUGUUACUUAUUGUAUAGAUUGGGUAACUAUAAAUUUUCAUUUGUUGGGAAAGUUGGGCUUUUGCUUCAGGACUGUUUUCAAUAUGGAAAUCUUUACAGUAUUUACAUUGUAGUGAUAAUUAGGAUGUCCACGAAUGUAAAAUCUUUAAAUUAUAUCCAAAUUUUUAAGGCCUAGUGUGGUGGCAUGCGUCUUUAAUCCCAGCAACUGGGGAGACUGAGGUAGGAGGAUCUCAAGUUGAGGCCAGCCUCAACAAUUUAGUGGGACUGGCUCAAAAUAAAAAAGGAACGGGGAUGUGGCUCUGGAGUUAAGUAUCUUCCAUUCAAUCCCAGUACCGAAAAAAAAGUGUUUAUUUCAAGCAUCAUUUUGUAGACUGGUGUUUUGCAUCUGAAAGCGAAGGAGGUAGGGUAUUGAGAUAUCAUUGCAUGCUUUGAAAUUCAUUGGUUUUUGUUUUGGUUUUGGUUUUGGUUUUUAGUUUUUUCCGUACCUGGUGUUAAACCCAGGGACGCUUAAUCACUGAGCCACAUCCCCAGCCCUUUUUGUAUUUUAGUUAAGGAACAGGGUCUCACUGAGUUGCCUAGGGCCUUAGUUGCUGAGGCUGGCUUUGAAUUUGGCAAUCCUCUUGUCUCACCCUCCUCAGCUGCUGGGAUUAUAGGCUGCUGAGAUUAAAGGUGUGUGCCAGGAUUUGCUUGUUAAUUCUUAAAUUUGCCUAAAAUUGUUGAGAAGAAAUGUUGUCAUGACUUUGAAUAUUUUAGAACUUUUUUGUACUGGGUGUUGAACCCUGGUGUACUUUAUGCUUGAGCAACAUCCCAGUCCUUUUUAUUUUGAGGCAGUGUUGCUAAAUUGCUGAGGCUGGCCUUGAAUUUGUGAUCCUCCUUCAUCUGCCUCCUGAGUUACUGGGAUUACCAGGGUGUGUCAAUGUACCUGGAGAAGGACUGUGGGGUGUGUGUGUGUUUUAAAUAGUUAUAGAUUAACACAAUACCUUUUUAAAAAAUUUUAUGUGGUGCUGAGGCUUGAAUCCAGUGCCUUACACGUGCUGUACCACUGAGCCACAAUCCUAGCCCGAACUGUGAUGUUUUAAUAGGGGUAAAUGGUGAUGAAGAUUUAUACACAACCCCAAUUUUAUCAUGAAACGUUUAAAACACAGAACAGUUGAAAGAAAAGUGCCAUGAACACCUACAACACAAUUUGUCACCAAAAACCACCAAUCCCUCCUUGCCCCUUUGUUGUUACUAGGAAUUGAACCCAGGGGCACUUAACCACUGAGCCACAUCCCCAGCACUUUUUUAAUAUUUUAUUUAGAAACAGGGUCUCCCUGAAUUGCGUAGGACCUUGCUAAGUUGCUGAGGCCGGCUUUGAACUUGAUCCUCCUGAUUUAGCUUCCUGAGCCCCUGGGAUUACAGGCAUGUGCCACCAUGCCCAGCGCCCCCCCACCACCGGAAUUGAACCCAAGAGAACUUUACUCCUGGGCCAUAUCCCUAGCCCUUUGUGUUUUUUAUUUUUAAACAGGGGUCUCAACCAAGUUUUGGAGACUGGGCUCGAACUUGCAGUUCUUUCUCAACCUCAUGAGUUGCUGGGAUUACACACAUGCACCACCAUGCCUGGCAAAAAAAAAAAAUUUUUUUAAAUAAAUUCUGUUCUGUGUCAACUUACUGCUUUAUACUUUUAUGUAAAGAAGAGAUGCUUCUUUCUUCUUUUCUCCCAUUAUAUGUACUAGGAAUUGAACCCGGAGCUGUUUGCCACUGAGCUAUGUUCCCAAUCCUUUUAUUUUUAAAUUUUGAGACAGGGACUCAUUAUGUUGCUUAGGUCCCUCUAAGUUGCUCAGGCUGGUCUCUAAUCUGAGCCUCCUGGGAUUAUAGGUGUGCACCACCAUGCCUUGCAAAGAUUUUAUGUAAUCUUUUAAUGUAAAUAUUUUUUUCGCUUGCACAGUGGCCCAUGCCUGUAAUACUAGCUGCUCCAGAGGAUGAGGCAGGAGGAUCGAAAGUUCAAAGCCAGCCUCAGCAAAAGCAAGGCACUAAACAACUCAGUGAGACUCUGUCUCUAAAUAAAAUACAAAAUAGAGCAGAGGAUGUGGCUUAGUGGUUGAAUUUCCCUGAGUUCAAUCCCUGAAAAAAGUGUUUUUGUGAGUGUGAUGCUGGAAAUUGAAACUAGGGUCCUCAUGCCUCCUGCCCUCCCUACUGGGAAUUGAACUUGAGUGCUGUACUGCAUAUAUAGAACUACAUCCCCAGCUGUUCUUCAUUUUCAGACAGGGUCUGGCUAAGUGUGCCUAGGCUGGCCUGGAACUUGCUAUUCUCAUGCCUCAGCCUCCCAAGUAGCUCCCAAUUACAUACCUGGAGUGGCUGAUCUACCUACCUACCUUUCUUUCUUUCUUUCUCUUUCUAGUUGUAGAUGGACAGCAUGCCUUUAUUUUGUUUGUUUGUGUGUGUGUGUGUGUGUGUGUUUAAACGUGGUGCUGAGGAACGAACCAAGCUACAGCCCCAGCCCCUGGAGUGGCUCAUCUUCAUAUCAUACCUUCACUUGCUCUCUUGUCCAUUAAUAGAUUGAAGCAAAUACCAGAUAUUAUACAAUUCAGUUUUAAUUGAGAUAGUAAUUAAAUGAUUUGUAAAGAAAGAAGAAUGAACUGUACCUUGCUCUCUAUGUAAGACAGUGAUCAUUGAAAGUCAGUAGAAAGAGUGCCUAAAAUGACAUGAAUCAGAUCAUUAAAAAAAGACUAUAAACAAGAUUAAAGAAUAAUAAGAAUAAAACCAAAUUAUUUAGAAUCAUGGAUUUAUUUUGGAAAGAUUACAAGGGAUGGAUUGGGUGGAGAAAGAUCCCACAAGGUAACAGGUGUAGACUUCUUUUAGCCUUUCAGUUGGCAUGGAAGCUCUCAAGUUUGUAGAGUAGACCCGAUAAUACCUUAAUUUAUUACUAAAAAAUAUGAAGUUAGUCCUGUACUAUGGUGCCUUCCCCAUUAUCCAGGCUACUUGGAAGACUGAGGCUGGAGGAUAAGUUUGAGGCCAGCCUGGGCAACUUAGGGAGACCCUUGGAAAAAAAUGGGGGUAAGAUAUAGCUUGGUGAUAGAGUACCCUUGGGUUCUAGCCUUAGUACCUGUCCCCCAAAUAUUAUGAUUUUGUGAUUUGUGGCCUUUGAAAGACAGCAGUGAUUAUUGAGAAGCAAAAUUAUUGCUAAUGUUUAUUUUUUUAAAUUCUUGUGAAGGAAUUCAGUUUUGCUUUAGUGUUUAAGGAAAUUCUGGAGCUCCUUGUUUACUAUAUCCAGUCCUGUGCCCUUCCUCCCAUACUGUCACCACAACAGUUUACUUUUUUGCCAGUUUAAUGAUGAUAAAGCUCCUCCCUGCAACAUCUGAUUCUUUUUGGAAUUACAGCUAUAUUUUUAUUUUGUAUGUGUUUUUACUGCUUGGUACAAUUUGAUCUCAUUCUUCCUUCAUUUAACCUUGUGCACUACUCCAGCAGCAUAUAAUAGGCCGUUAUUUCCCCAUCUGUUCCAAGCUUCUUGAGUUGAAGGAACUGCCUUCUUUAGCUUUAUGUUAAAAACCUACAAAGUACUAUUUUUAAAAAAAAAAAAAACACAAUACCUUUGUUUUAUUUGCUUAUUUUUAUGUGGUGCUGAGGACAUAACCCAGCACCUUGCAUGUGCUAGGUGAGCAUGUUACCGCUGAGCCACAACCCCAGCCCUACAAAAUACUAUUUUGAGUCUUAUAUGAUUCAAUGAGUGGAUUGAUUUUUGCAUAUAGGAACUACUGGGAUGACAGGUGUAUAGCUAAUUUAUACAAAGUUUAGUAUUUGGGGCAUACAAGUGGAUUAUUUCAAAGAUAGCUUGGAUAAGAGGAAGAAAAGAACUUUUGUUUGGACAAGUCCAUUUAUCUGAACCUUUAAGCCUCUCAAAUUGUGUUUUCACACUCUUCAGGAAAGACUACUUUAACUAACCCUUUCUCCUGGUGCUGAUGCUUGAACCCAGGGCCUGGUACCUGCUAGGCAAGGGCUCUAUCACUUAGACACAUCCCCAAUCCUGUAUUUCACUUUUUAAAAAAUGUCUUUUCUAGCCAGAUAUAGUGGCCUUUGCCCAUAAUACCAGCAACCCAGGAAAAGUGUAAAUUGGAGGCCAGUCUCAACAACUUAGUGUUUUCCUAUUAGUGAAAAAUAUGUUUGGGAAGAUACAAAAAAAAAUAUGAAAAAUAUGUUCUGCAGUGUACUUAUUAACGAGGAAUGAAACCAGCAACCUUGUUUGUUUUGUUGAGUAACCAUUUGAAGUUAAGGAAAUAUAUGUGGGGUUAGGAAGAGGUAAAAGAGCCAUUGUGUGUGUUGCACAAUGUGUUCUUUGGGUUGAAUUAUCUUUUAAUCUGUCUAGUAAAAAUUUCUGUAAUAGCCUUUUCUUCUUUCCCUUCUUGUAUUUUAAUGAUUUUUACUUGAACAUAUUUCUGGUGUUUUUUUUUGUGUUGGAGUGGUGAUACUGGGAAUUGAACCUAGGGAUGCUUACCCAUAAGCCACAUGCCCGGCUCUUUUUAUUUUUAUUUUGAUAUAGGGUCUCAUGAAGUUGCUGAGGCUGGCUUUGAACUUGGAAUCCUCCUGUGUCUCUGAGAUUACAGGCAUGUGCCACUGUGCCUGGCUUACUCUAACAGUUUUGAGUGGGCAAAUUGACUUCAAUUUUAUUGUAUUUCUUUUACUCUUUGGAAAGGCUUUCUUAUUUAUUGUGGUGGUGGGAUCAAACCAUGUGCUCUAUCACUGAGCUAUAUCUCCAACUCCAGAUCUUUAUUCUUAAUAUUUCUUAGGGAAACCAGACAUUAGAAGAUAGUGUAUGUGGCAGUGAUUUUUAUCCUCAGUAUAGUUAAUCUGUGCUUAGUAUUGGUUUUUCUUAGAGUUACAACAGAAAGGAACUGUUAGGAGUGAUUGUGUUCUUCAACAUAGAUUGUAUCAGGGGACACAGGGAUUAUUAGAAGGGCAAAGUCUGUACUUGGCUGUUUGUACUCAUUAGUUGGGCAGUUGCCAAAAAAAGUCAUAGUUUUAAGCUUUUCUACCAUAUUUCUAAAUGUAUAUGUCUUUUGAAGAUCUAAUUGUGAAUUUUGAGUUAUUUUGUUUUGUUGGAUAGCUGGUAAUGGUGUGAAAACUGAUCUGAAAGGGAUUUGAAGUCUGAUGGUGUGGUACACCUGAAGUCCCAGCUACUUAGGAGGCUGAGCAGGAGAGAAGGAUCACAGGUUCGAGAAUAGCCUGGGCAACUUAGGGAGAAUGUGUCUCAAAAAAAGUGGUGGAACUAAUAUACAUUAAAUAUUGAAUAAAAUGAGAAGCACAAGACUAUGCCUUAAUUGAUGUUUUUCUAUUGUUUAACUUGGUUUAUUUUUAAGAUAAUGACUAUACACUGUUAUAAUCAUUAACAAAAUAUCUUGGCUACUCGAUUGAAAGAGCCUGGUCUUCCAAAUACCAAAAAGGUCAAGAUUUUUAUUUAUAUAUUUUGUUAUUUUGUGGUGCUGGAGAUAGAACACAGGGCCUUGUAUACCUCAUGCUAUAUCACCAAAUUAUAGCCUCAGCACUUAUAUGUAUAUUGUAGCCAUUUGUUUCCUAGGGGAUGAAUAAGCAAAUUUAAUAAGCUAUUCAAUAAGUGUAGUUUAUUUUAAAAGUUUUUUAAUUGUUUGCAUGUGUAGAAUUUUAGUCUUUGGAAGGAUUGAAGAGUUCAUAAUAAAGGAUAUAUGUUCAGUUUUGUUCCCCAAAACUCAAUAGUAGAGUUCAGUUGCAUUGAUAAAGGAACACAGAACUAAGCUGGCUUCUAGUCCUUACCACCAGUCAUAUAAAAUACUUUAUUCUCUGGGCAUGUGAGUUGGCUUAAUUAAGUUACUAUUCUUAGAGUCUUACAGAGUGCUACUCUGGUCUACUUCUAAUUUUGAAAAACAAAAAGUUAACUACAGAGACACUUAGGACUUUCAAAUAUAUAUUAUGUGCAGUUCUUAAUAUUGUAGCCAAAAUUUGUUAGAAUGACUUGAAUCUGGUGUCACUGUAUUUUUAAUGGUAUGUGACGUUUUGCAAACAUGUAUUACAGAACAGAUUAUAUAAUAGUCAUUCUGGUUAAUGAUGGCUGUUUCCUAAUUUUGUCAUGUGGAUAUCAUGGUCUUCAUACAAACCUAGAUGUUAGGACCUAUGGCUCUGGAGGAUGUGUAUGUGUGGUAGUCUAUUUCCCUGUUCUAAUGCCGUAAUGAACAAAACAACACAAGAUUAAAUCAAGCACCAGAGAAAGUAUUGCAGUCAGGACCUCUGAAGAGUUGUGAAGGGUGUAGCUUAGUGGUCAAGUGUUUGCCUGGCAUGUCCAAGACUCUGGUUCCAUCCAUAGCACUGCAAAAUAAUAAUAAUAAUAAUACAUGAAAUAUAUGAGAUGGUUGCUGUUCUUACAGGGCAUACUGUUUUGUAGUAAACUUAUUAAAAUAGUAUAUACUAAGAUGAUGACUAUACACUGUUAUAAUCAUUAACAAAUGAUGCAUACAACAAUAACAUAGCUGUUUAUUUUCAUUAUUGAGUAUUAUAUACAGUAAGUAAUUGUAUGUGCCAUACUUUUAUAUGACUGGUGAUGGCAGUAGAUUUAUUUGCAGCAGCAUAAACACAUGAGUAAUCUUUUGUAUGUUAAGAUGGCAAAGAUCACUAGGUUAUAUUGUAAUGGAGUUUUUCAGCUCCAUUAUAAUCUAUUGGAGCCAUCAUAGUAUAUGACAUUGAGACCCUGUGUCAAAAAAAAAGGGGGGGGGGCUGGAGAUGUAGCCCAGUGGUAAAAUGCCCCUGGGUUCAAUUCCCAGUACCAAAAAUAUUAACAAAAUGCAUAUUUGAUAUAAGUAGGAAAAAAAAACAGAUUAUUUGAGAAUAGUAUUUUAUUGACAACCUCCCUCAGUUAUAUUUAGAUACAGAGGAAAAUACUCAUUACAAAACCAGGGUUGAGGCUGAUCUGCUUAUUUAGUUGCUGAUGGUCAAGAGUCCUUUAACCUACUAUCUCAUCCCCCCUAACCCAAUACCUUUUUUUUUUUUUUUAAUGGCAGUACUGGGGAUUGAACCCAGAGGCUCUCUACCACUGCACCACAUCCCCACCACUUUUUAUGUUUUUAAAUUUUUUUUUUUUUUCCAGCACCAGGGAGUGAAUCCAGGGACACUGAGCUACAUCCCCAAACUUUUUUUUUUUUUGUACAGGAGAUUGAACUCAGGGGCACUCAACCACUGAGCCACAUCCUCAGCCCUUUUUCAUAUUUUAUUUUGAGACAAGGUCUCACUGAGUUGCGUAGGGGGUCCCUAAGUUGCUAAGGCUGGCUUUGAACUCGCAAUCCUCCUGCUUCAGCUUCCAGAGUCGCUGGAAUUAAAGGCGGGUGCCACCACACCCGGCAUCCCCAACUUUUUGAGACACAGUCUUGCUAAAUUUCCGAGGCAGGUUUAGAACUUGGAAUCCUCCUGCUUCCGUCUCCCCAUUAUCUGGGAUUAUAGAGGUGUGCCAGUGCAUCCAAGUAUCCCCCCUCUUUUAUGUGUAUCACAUGUAUUAAGAUGAUCUCUCUUUUAAUUCAGUUUGAGCUUAGUAUAAUACCCCGUUCCUCAAAAUUUUAUUUGGAGCAAAAACUUAGUCCGUUUUACCUCUGUAAUAAUAGGAAGAAGAAAUUAUAUCAUCGUGUUUUGGGGAUUUUGGUCCCUUUCAGUUUAAACCCAGGGCCUUAUGUAUGCUAGCCAAGCCCUCUACUACUGAGCUAUACCCUUACCUCUAUAUAGUUCUUUUUAAAAUAUAUAUAUAUUUAUUUUCUAGUUGUAGUUGGACACAAUACCUUCAUUUCACUUAUUUAUUUUUAUGUGGUGCUGAGGAUCGAAUCCAGGGUCUCGAAUGUGCGAGGCGAGCGCUCUACUGUUGAGCCACAAACCUAGCCCCUCUAUAUAGUUCUUCUGAUCAUGUUGUUUGUCACCUCUCCACACCCUACCCUCCCAUGGCCCUGGUAAAAGUUAAGACCUAAUAAGUUAAGAGCUAAUAUAGAAAGUGAUUUUGAGUUUCAAGAAAGUAUAAUUCAUGGAGUUUUCCCAAGACUGUUAUCUUAACUGAGUUUUCUUAACUGUUAUCCAGUGUUAAGAAAAGACUAUUAAAAAGUUAUCCCGUUCUCCAAUUAUGUUACGGCGAGACUGAAUUUUCUUAAUAUACUUUAUCCAAACCAGUAUACUGUAGCAGAUUGAAAGCAGAAGCAGAAUAUUCAUAGGUAGACUUUUAAAAGGUCGCAAAAAUGUAAAAGGAGUUCAGUGGUAGAGCACUUGCCUAGUAUGCUCAAGGCCCUGGGUUUGAUUCCCAAAUACUGCAAAAAAGAAAAAAAAAAAGGAUAAAAACAAAAACAGUACCAUUCAUUGUUUUUGUUUUGUUUUUAGAAAAUAUAUUUUCAUAAAAUGUUAUUUAUAUUGACUUGAAGAUGUUUAUUUUCUUAUACUGGUGAUUAAACCCAGGGGUACUUUUCCACUGAGCUACAUUCCGCCACCUUUUUUAGUUUUUGACACAGGGUCUUGCUAAGUUGCUCAGGCUAACUUUGAACCGCCCCCAUCUAUGUUUACAGAUGUAUUCUGCUGUCUCCAGUAGUUUCUCAGUUUUUGAGAGUAUAAUUUUUUAAUAAAAAGUUUUGAGAAUUAUUGAAUGGUGCUUGAUGCCUGUAAAGACAAAGUCAUUAGUUCUAUUUCUGUAUGAGUUACUUAACUUCAUACAGAAAGUUAAACGUGAAAAGUGACAAGGGAGCCCACAGAAUGGGAGAAAAUUUUUGGAAACCAUGCCUGAUAAGGGACUUGUAUCUAAUAUAUAUCUAAAGAACUUUAGUGGGCCGGGGCCGGGGCUGGGGCUCAGUGACAGCACUUGCCUAGCUUGUGUGAGGCACUAGGUUCUAUCCUUAGCACCGCAUACAGAAAUAAAUUUAAAAAGCCAUGUUGUCCAUGUACAGCUUCAAAAAAAAAUCAGUCAUAAAAGAUAACCCAAUUAAAAAAUGGGCUGUGGGACUGAAUAAAGAUUUCUUCCCAAGAUUUGUGCAGACUGCCAAUAAGCAAUAUGAGAGAAUGCUUUUGACCUUUAAAAUUUUUUUUUUGUAGUUGUAGAUGGACAGCAUGCCUUCAUUUUAUGUGGUUUUUAUGAUGCAUUAAGGACAGAAUCCAGUGCCUCACAUUUGCUAGGCAAGCAUUCUGCAACUGAGCUACAGCCCCGCCCAAGAUGCCUGACCUCUUUAGCCAUUAAAGAAAUGUAAAUCAAAACUACAGUUAGAUACCCUUUCAUACCCACUAGUAUGUCUGUAAUCAGAAAGACAGAUAAUGACAAAUGUUGGGGAUGUGGAGAAAUUGGAACUCUCACACACUGCUGGUAUUAAUGUAAAAUGGUUCACAAGAGAACCUGGGCCUUUUUCAAUGCUUUUCACAUUGGAAAGCAGUCUGGUGAUUCCUCAAUGUUAGAGUUACUACAUGACUUUAAUAAAAUACAGGCUAUCCCAUAUAAUAGAAUAUUAUUCAGCAAUAAAAAGAAAAAUAUUUUAUAUAAGCUUAAACACAAAUCUUGAAAACAUGCCAGAAAUCAAAAUCCACAUAUUGUAUGUUUUCCAUUUAUGUGAAAUAAUUGGCAAUUUUCUAGAGAAAAAGUAGAUUGGUGGUAGCUUGGUGCUGGAGGAUUGGAGGGAAAUGGGAGUGGCUGCUAGUAGAUGUAGAUUUCUUUUGGGGGUGAUAAAUUUUUAAAAAAUUUGUAAUGUUGUACAACUUAAUAUAUUCAUAAAGUCAUCACUGAAUUGUUUAUUUCAAAUGGGUAAAUUGUAUAUUAUCAGUCACUGCUUAAUAAAGUCAUUAAAAUGGAAAGUUAAAAGGUUAAAUAUAUACUUACACUAUCUCCCAACAUUUAUUUAUUUAUUUUUAAUAUUUAUUUAUUUAUUUUAGUUUUCGGUGGACACAACAUCUUUGUUUGUAUGUGGUGCUGAGGAUCGAACCCGGGCCACACGCAUGCCAGGCGAGCGCACUACCGCUUGAGCCACAUCCCCAGCCCCCCAACAUUUAAUCAGUUAUAUACAUGUUAUUUUUCACAGAGAAGUUAAAUUAGAAAAUUAAGUAAUUGAUAAUGUACAUGCUUUGAGAAAAACUCUAAAUUUUGUUCUACUCACUUGAUGUGGAGCUUCAUUCUUCUUUAAUAUUCCUUGAAGAGUUAUGUUGGAAUUAUAAAUUAUUCCAAAGACAAAAAAGCUGUAUUUUGAUAGUUUGUUUUGGUAGAAAGAUGGCAUAGAAGCCUGGGACAGCUGCUGGCUGGUGUUUUUUUUUCCCCCUUCUCUUCAGCUGUUCUUUUGGCUGUACUAAACAGUCAUGACUUUAGUCCAUUACAAAUGGGCAUUGGAAAGUUGUCCUAGGUUGUCCUAACUUGUCCUUGUUUGUAAAGUGACUGAUAGGAAUGCUUUUGCAGCAGAGUCAGGAUGUAGUACAAUUUUUUUUUUCUCCCCCUGUACUAAGGUUUGAACGGAGGGCCUCUAGCAUACUAUACAAGUGCUCUGCCACUGAGCUAUGUCCCAGUUCGUUUAUUUAUUUAUCUGUGUGUACUGAGGAUUGAACCCAGGGGUGCUUAACCACUGAGCUACAUUCCAGUCCUUUUUGAGACAGGAUUUCGUUAAAUUGCUUAGGGCCUCAAGUUGCUGAAGGCUGGCUUUGAACUUGUGAUCCUCCUGCCUCAACCUCUCAGACUGCUAGGAUUAUAGUCAUGCACCACCAUGCCUGGCUUAUUUUUAUUUUUGAGAUAGGUUGGCCAGUCUGGGCUCCCACUUGAAAUUUGCCUGCCUCAGUCUUUGAAUAGCUGAGAUUAUAGGCAUGUGCUGCUUUGCCUGGUCAGCUUCAUUCCUCAUGGAGGCCCAAGUUCUGUUGUGGAUUCUAGAAAACUGUUCAGUUUUCCUUUGCCCUGUAGCAAUAUGUCACCAGUCCAGAAGACAGAAAUGCCACAUUCUCAAUCUUGGCUAUUCUACUAGUUUCUAACUGUGGCAAAAGCCUUUUUUUUUCUUCGGGGGGGGGGGGGUUGGUGGAAAUUAAAUGGAGCCACAGGUUACAGUGUAUACUCUUGGUUGUUAGGGUAGCAUCCAUCCAUAACGUAGUCAAUUGAGAAUUAACUAUAUAGAUUGUUUUAUGAAUGUUUGACUAAUCAUUGACCAGAGAAAAUAGAGAUGUAAUGAUACUCCUGAUGAUCCUCUAUGUGCCUGUAUAUUAGAAUAUUAGGGGUCCCAUGAAUUGGGUAGUGGGUAGAGAUAAACUUUUUUUUUUGUACCAGGGAUUGAACCCAAGGGUGCUUAACCACAGAACCACAUCCCCAGCCCUUUAGGUUUUUUUUUUUUUUUUUUCCGGACAGGUUUUAUUAAGUUUCUUAGGGCCUUGCUAAAUUGCUGAGGGUGGCUUUGAACUUGUGAUCAUCCUGCAUCAGCCUCCCAAGCUACUGGAAGUAUAAGUGUGUGCUACUUAUACCAGGGGAAUAAACUUCUUGCUAAUGUCUAAUUAAAAUGGAGCAUUUCCUUCCAUUAUUAAUGUGUACCAGAAACCGGAAUAGUAGUUUUAGCAGCUUUUGUGACAUAAAUAUUUGAAUAUAUGACAUAUUUAAAAGUUUGUUUGCAUUCAUUGCCAUUUUGAUAUUUUAAUAUAUAUUAUUAUGUGUAAAUUUUGUUUCAAAAAACAUUUCUGUAGCUAAUAUCAAGUUGGUUUCCUUUGGAAUUCCUUAGAAUUUGCAGUCCUAGUGGCCCAUGCCUAUAAUCCUAGCUAUUUGGGAGACUGAAGCAGGGGGAUUGCAAAUUCAAAGCUAGUCUCAGAACUUAGACCCUGUCUCAAAAUAAAAAAAGAAAAAGGGCUGGGAAAGCUCAGGGAUAGUUUGUCUGGUACACAUGGGGCCCUGAAUUCAGUUCCCAGUAUUGCAAAAGAAGGGCAGGAAGGAGAGAAUUAUUUUGUGCCACUUAACAUUAUUCUGAGAAAGGGAUCAUAGGCUUUACUAAACUGCAGAAAUCUUUUGUGGCACCAAAAAUGGUUAGUAAUAUAUAACCAUGGUUUUCAAUUAGUCUGGACUAGAACCACCUGGAAAGCUUUUAAAAAAAAAAAAAAACUACAUGAAUUCUUGGAGGCUCUGGUUUAAUUGAUCUAGGGUGGAAUAUGAACAUCUUUUAAAAUCUCCGUCUCCCAGGUGAUUUGAAUGUACUUUUCAGGGUUGCAGAUCACUGACAGAAUGGUUUAUUUCAUACAGAGUCACGUAUACCUCUUGCUGUGAUCAUGCUUGGUCAGAUGUUAAAAUCUAACUUCCAAGUCUUUUAUAAAAUAUAUAUAGGAGGGCUGGGGUUGUAGCUCAGUGGUAGAGUGCUUGGCUAGCAUGUGUGAGGCACAAGGUUCAAUCCUCAGCAUCACAUAAAAAUAAAUAAAUAAAGGUAUUGUGUCCAUCUGCAGCUAAAAAUAUUUUUAUAUAUGUAUAUAAUAUACACACAUGAUACUUUUUUUUCAACUUGGUGGGUUAAUAUUUAGCCAAAUAGGUUUUUAGCUCCAGAAGAAUACCCAAGAACAUUGUAAGGUGAUUUUUGUGUGUGGUGGUUGGUUUGGUUUUGUUAUUUUUGGUAUUGGGGGUUGAAGCCAGGGCACUCUACCACUGAGCUACAUCCCCAGUCCUGUUUUUUAUUUUUUAUUUUUUGUAACAGAGUUUCACUAAUUUGUCCAGGUUGGCCUGAAACUCUUGAUCCUCCUGCUUCAGCCUUAUGGGUAGCUGAGAUUCAGGGAUAUGUCACUGUACCAAGCUGCCCUGAUUUAUUUAUUUAUUUUCCCUUUCUUUCACUGGGAAUAGAAUGUAGGGGUGCUUUACCACUGAGCUAUAUCCUAGCCCUUCUUAUUUUUCUAUUUUGAGACAGGGUCUCACUAAGUUGCUGAGGCUGUCAUUGAACUUGGGGGUCCUUCUGCCUCAGCCUCCUGAGUCACUGGGAUUACAGGCAUGCACCACUAUGCUUGGCUGCUGUGGGAGUUUUAAAAACCUGUCAUUACAGACAUGGUAGUAUGUUGCUGCCUGCCCUGCCUUGCUGUUUGUUUGUUAGCAGGGAUUGAAUUCAGGGGCACUUAACCACUGAGCCACAUCCCCAGUCCCCCCCCCCCCCUUCUUUUAAUCUGUUAUUUUGAGAUAGGGUCUUGCUAAAUUGCUUAGAGACUGGGUAAAUUGCUGAGGCUGCCUUUGAACUUGGGAUCCUCCUGCAUCAGCUUCCCUGGCUGCUGUGAUUAAAGGUGUGCACUACUGUGCUGUGUGCCUUGUUAUUUUUAGUGACUACAAUUUUCUGUAAUUUAUUUAACUGGCCCUUUUGUACAUGGGUAUUUAAAUUAUUUCCAGUUGUGAGCAAUUUUUAGCCUAUGCAUUUGUAUACUAACAUUUUUAUGCACAUAUGCAAUAGGACAAUUUGCUAGAAGUGGAAUUGAGGACCAAAAAUCUUAGUAUUCUUUGCCUAUAGAGUGACUCAUGUUAUCUAGAAUUUUACCUCUCUGAAGCCCUAGAUUUAGUGAAGACUCAGGAGAAAACAAUCUUGAGCUAUUUUCUGUACAUCAGCAACUUAUGAAAACACAUUGAACAGACCCGAACAUAUUGUAUUUUUAUAGAUUUUUAAGAUCCUCAUUUGCAGGUUUAAUGUAAGUCUUGAAUUAAGCAGUUUAACCCAGCAAUAGCUUAGUUUCCAAAGGCUUUUUCAACCCCUUGUUUUCUCUUUAGUAUCUAGUGAGUUUGAGAAAUAACCAUCAGAUAUCCAGAUUUUGAGAAAAGAUACCAGCUGAACACGGGGCCAAAACCUCAAUUUAGAGAAGGUGGGAAAAAAAGCACACAGAUCAAAAAUUGAAUUGUGGGUGAUCCGUAAGUUCAAAAAGGCAGAAGAAAUCAUUGGCAAAAAUGAAGACAGUUGGUUAUGUUACCCAAAGCGCAGUCCUUGUCACCAGUGCCAGUCCUGUAAUAAGGACACAGUUUUGAGAAAAAGGAAAAAGAAGUGUUAUUGCUUUGCUAAAAAAGGAGAAAUAACAGCAGACUCCUGUCCCAGAGGCUGAUUCUCCUGUUGAACAGUUUUGGUUUUGGUUUUGGUGCUGAAUCGGGGUGGGGUGAGGGGCAUGACACCAUCAUAUCUAAUUUUGAUCAGUAUUACUACUUGCCCUCUGUCAACUUAAGAAUGUCUCUUUAAACUGGGUACAGUGGGGCACACCUGUAACCCCAGCAACUCAGCAAUUUAGCAAGGCCCUAAGCACCUUAGUGAAAUGCUCUCUCAACAUAAAAAGGGCUGGGGAUGUUGCUUAGUGAUAAAACACCUUUGGGUUCUUUCUUCAUACUUUUGCCAGUGCAGUGUUAAUUUUAAGAUGUUUGAUCUCUGUUAUAAGAAUUUCAUUUGCAUUUUUUUGAAUGUUUAAAAAUUUAAUUAUAGCCCUUGUGGUGAUACAUGUCUGUAAUCACAACUACUUAGGAAACUGACCCAGAAGGAUCAAAAGUUCCAGGACACUUAGGGAGAUCUUGUCUCAAAAUGAGAAAAGGUCUGGGUAUAUAACUCACUGGGAGGGCAACUCUGGGUUCUAUCCCUAGUACCAAAAACAAAAAAAGUUGAUUUUAAUGUGUUUAUUCUUUGUACUGUUCAUCUGCGUUGCCCCUGCCCUAGAAGUGCUGGGCAUUGAACCUAUGGUCUUAUGCAUGCUAGUCAAGCACUCUUAGAGAUAUGCCUCUAGCCUCCUUCAUCCAUUUUCUGUUUGAGUCACUGGUCUCUUUCAUUGCAAACUGGACUUUACACCAAUAAAUUUAGUGCUUUGUCACAUGGGUCGGAGAUACUAAGUUUGUAUUUUGAUCUUGAUAAUUUGCUCAUACAUAGAUACCUAGCAUUACUACUGAGUGAUAUCCCCAAACCCUUGUUGGUCUAUGUUUAAAUUUUUGAUAUAUCUUACUUUGGUAGAAAAGGUAAAUAGAAACUUGACUUUGUUUUGAUAAAGUAGACAUAAUUAUUCUAACAGUAGAUUAUAUUUAUUGAAUAAUUCACCAUUCUGAUAUGAAAUGCCACCUUUAUGACUUGCUGAUUUUACAUAUAUUGCUUCUUUUUGAACCAUAUUGUCCAUUGAUUGGCUUGUUACCAACCCAUAGUUUUAUUUUUUAGGUACUGGUGAUUGAACCCAGGGGCACUUUACCACUGAGCUAUAUCUCCAGCUUUUUUAUUUUGAGACAGGGUCUCCUUAAGUCCUUAGGUCCUUGCUAAAUUUUGAAGUUGGUCAUGAACUUGCAAUCCUCUUGCCUUUAUCUUCUGAGUUGCUAGCAUGCACUUCUGCACCCGGCAAAACAACAUAAUUUUAGUUUAAAUUGCAGUAGUCUUUUAGAAUGUUUUUCAUUCUUUUUUUUUUUAAGAGAGAGAGAGAGAAUUUUCUUUAGUAUUUAUCUUUUAGUUUUUGGUGGACACAACAUCUUUAUUUUUAUGUGGUGCUGAGGAUCGAACCCAGCGCCCUGCGCAUGCCAGGCGAGCGCGUUACUGCUUGAGCCACAUCCCCAGCCCCAAGAAUGUUUUUCAUUCUAAAUAAAUUAAUUCUUGCCAGUGGUGCAGUUUAUUUCAAAGGAGCUUAUUUCUUCUAGGUAAUCUGUUUCUCUGAACAAAUUGUUACAUGAAAUAAUUCUUUAAGAAAGGAAAAGAAAAACGGUGAUGGCAAUGCUUUCUUUUUUUAAUCCUCAAAUAUUAUUAAUGUAUAUUCCAUACUGUGGGUUCAAGAAGUCCUGGAAAAAAACAAUUUUUAUCUGGCUUAUUUGAGCAUUACUUUCUUUUUGGUGGUACACAGAAGUAUUCAGAACAAAGAAGUUUUUUAUGCCUCAGGUGGUAGCUACUAUCUUAGGGUUUCUGUUUUUUGUUUUUGUUUUUUGUCCUUUUUUACAGUAUUAGGAAUUGAAUCCAGGGCUUCCCUUAUACAUGCUAUGCAAGGGCUGUACCCAUUGAACUACAUUCCCACCCCCAAAAUUAAAUCUCUGUAAAAAUAAAACCACCUUCAGCUGGGUGUGUGGAUGUAUGCUUAUAAUACCAGGUACUCAGGAGCCUGAGGAGGAAGGGUUGCAAGUUCCAGGUCAGGGCUGGGCAACUUGGUGUAACUCUGUCUGAAAAUAAAAAGCUCCGUGUGUUGUUCAGUGGCGCAGUGCUCCAGGGUUCAGUUACCAGUACUGCAAAACAACAAAAGCCAUCUUAUUAAAGAAUUUGGAUAAUACUAGAAGGGGAGAAAAUUUACCUUUAUUUCCACUACUUAUUACCCAGACAUGACUGUGCUUAAUAUUUUAGCAUGUCUUUUAAAUCCCUUUCAUUGCAGAUUUCUUCAUAGUUUUCUUUAUGCUUUAUAUAUGUGAAUCAUUUCUUUCAUCAAAAUAGAAUUUCUGUGUCAUGUCAUGCUCACAUUUUGUGGCUCAGAAUGAAUAUUCUAACUGCAGUAUUUCUCAUAUUUGGUCCAGGGACCCCCCCAGGGGCUUCUAAGAUUUUCAGAAGAUAUGUGAGUGUAAAUCAUUUCAUAAGAAACAUAAGAUCCAGCUAAGUGCCUUGUUGCAUGCCUGUAUUCCCAGGGGCUCCUGAGGCAGGAGGAUCCAAGUUUAAAGCCAGCCUUGGCAACUUUUGAUUUUUGUCUCAAAAUAAAAAUGGUAGGGAAUGUGGCUCAGAGGUUGAGCACCCUGGAUUCAAUCCUUGGUACCAAAAAAAGAAAAGAAUCUAAGACACAUACCAGUAAUUCAAUUUACUUGAGAGGUUGAGGCAGGAAGAUCUGUUGAGCCCAGAAGUUCUAGACCUGCCUGGACAAUAUAGAAAGACCCCCAUCUCAAACAAAAAAGGACAUCUAAGACAUUCUCUUAAUGAGUGUACAGUGGAAGUUUUCAGCAUCUAUGUAACAUGGUAUGACAGCAGAUUGAAUGCAGAAGCAGAUGAGAAAAAUUCAACUGCCUUUUAAAAAAAAAGUUUUCAAAGGGCUGAGGAUUUAGCUCAGAUUGGUAGAGUUCUUGCCUCGCACGCACAAGGCCCUGGAUUCAAUCCCCAGCACCAUACAUGCACACAAGAGUCAGAGAAUAUUUGCAAAUAUGGAAAACAAAGCUAUUUUUCUCCCCUCUUUUUGUACUGGGGAUUGAACCCAAGGGUGCUUUACCACUGAGCUACCAUCCCUAGCCCCCUUUCUUUCUUUUUAUUUAUUUAUUUUACUUAUUUUUAGAUAGGGUCUUACUGAGUUGCUUAGUGCCUUGCUAGGUUGCCGAGUCUGGCUUGGAACUUUUGACCCACCUGCUUUAGCCUUCCAAGUCACUGGGAUUAUAGGCAUGUUCCACCAUGCCUGGCUUCUGACUGAAUUUAAGAGUAUAGGGGUCCUACAACCAUAAAGUUUGAGACUGAUGAUAUGCUAUUUUACAUAAAAUGAUGUUAAAGGUAAAAUAUCAUAAUAAAAUAAAAAAUAGUGAUCACUUGAUUUCAUUCUUUUUAUGCAUGUGACUUCUGAUUAUGUAUACAGUACACAUGGAUUUUUUUUAAUAUAAAAUGCAGUUCUCUUUUAUAAGAGGACAUUUUAAUGCUUUGUGACAUUGCUUCUAGAGACUGGCAUGUUCUGUGUUCUUGAAUUAAGUUGGGCAUGAGAUUUUUAUAAACAAUAACUUUAGUUUAUUAUUUAUUUAUUUUUUCCUCAGGCAGCUGAGUAUGUCCCAGAGAAGGUGAAGAAAGCGGAAAAGAAAUUAGAAGAGAAUCCAUAUGACCUUGAUGCUUGGAGCAUUCUCAUUCGAGAGGCACAGGUUUAGUGAUAUAGGAUUACAUUUCCUUCUCUAUGGGUCCAAUCACACUACUUGGUUCUGCAGUAAAUAAUAUUUUCAUAAUCCUAACAUUGUAAAUGCUGUUUAUUGGUUUUCAAUUUUAGAAUCAACCUAUAGACAAAGCACGGAAGACUUAUGAACGCCUUGUUGCCCAGUUCCCAAGUUCUGGCAGAUUCUGGAAACUGUACAUUGAAGCAGAGGUUAAUAUUUUAUUUUAUUUUUUCAUAUAUAGCAUCUGAUGGGAAUUGCAGCAUACACAGUAGAGAUAGGAAACAAGUUAGGAACAUAGCACAAAUAGGACAAGGAGGAUUUAAAUGUCUCGUGCCUUUAUUUUGUAAAAUAGGUAUGAAGGAAUAAUUAAAAUGAAUUUUUGAAAUUUGGGUCUUUGACAAGCUGAUGAUUGUUGCAUUUUGGAGUUGCAACAACAUUAAAACAGUUUCAAUGGUAUUGGAGUGCUUUAGCCUUUUAUUUACUUGUCAUGUGUCAAUUUAUUGCCUCCUGUGUCAUUUAUUUAGAACUCAUUUUUCUUUUUAUUUCUACUUACAAACUAAUAUGAAUGUGGGAUUAUAUGAAUAUACAGAAAUGUUAACUUAGUUUCAUAGUCUUUUGAGUGUCUGGUGAAAUGAAACAAACAUAAGAGAAGAAUGAUAUCAAGUUUUAAUUUUGUGAAAAUGCAUGGUUUGUCUUUGUAAGCACUCAUUUUUAAGAUGAAGUUUACAUUAUGCAGGUAUAAGCUAAUGUAACUCAAAUUUUUUAAUCAUAAUUUUCCUGAUGAUACUUUGAUUUUUGUGUUUUUUUUUGUUUUUUUUUUUUUUAAAUAAUCUGUCUUGAAAUUUGAAGCCAGGAAUGUUUACUUUAAAGAAUAAGGAUCCCAUUCUUAAAGUGUUAAUGUGUCUAUCAGCACCAAGAAAUCAUUUUCAGGUUAUAAAUUAAUAGGAUGGAAUGGUGAAAUGCGAAUAAUUGAUAUCCACAUUUAGCUGAAAAUGAUAACCAUUUCUUUUUAUAACUCCUUUAUAAGACUUUAAGCAGUACUUUUAUUUUUAAUGUUAACUUUGUAAUAUAAAUUCUCAAUGUAGUUAAGUACACUGCAGCCUCAACAUUUUUCACUGUAGCUGAAAUUUUAUAUUAUGUGGGUCUGUUUAGACCUUGUUAAAGGACCUCAGCCAUCAGCAGUAUUGAACAGAGUUCAGCACAACACAGUGUCACCUGUGAUGUGUCCUCAAAAUGGACCCAACCAACAGUAGAGCUAAUAGAGGCUACAGUGUACUCAUUAAAUUUGUGCUAUAAUUUAGAUUGUAUUACUUUGUGGGAGGGAAGUUACUGGACCAUAGCAAGAACAUCAUGUGUGUUUUAUUUUUGUGUGUGAGGUUGUGUAUAUGGUCUGUGUGUUUGUAUGUGUGAAUGCGAUUGUGCCUUAUGUGGAGUCUGGUAGUUUUGAUCCAUAUGCUUAAAUUUUCAUCCCUAUUCUCUGGACCAUUUCUUUCCUUCUAUAUUUUAAUCGACAGAGUAGGCAGGCAUGAAACUCAACUGGUAAGGCCUGAGUGUGAAGCCAGUGCUGCUUUGUAUUAAAGCAAGGAUCCUGGAUCACCUGCACCUGGUCUACAUUCUAGUCUGACUUUACAGACACAUUAGCUUAUAUUUAAACUUAUCAGAAAUGAACAUAAUAUAUAAUCUUUUUUGUGUUUUAAAGUAAUAAUUUGAGUCUUCUCCAGCAUUUAGACAUUAUCAAUGCAUUUUAUUAUAGCAUAAGCUAAAUUGAAAUUGGCAGAUACUACUGCAUUCUGUAAUUAUGAAUACCAUGAGUUUGCUUCUUCCAUUUUCUAACUGAUAUAAAAACUGCAUUCUUAAAAAAAAAAUCUGAAAAAGAACAUAUGUUAUUCCCGGGGGCUGAAAUUUGUCUAAAUAAUAGGCUCAUUUUGUGUAUUUCACAGCUACUUGCAGUUGCCUGAUUUAUUGGUAAUGUUUGCAGUUAUUUCACAUUCAUAUACACAAGUACACAAAUAUGUAUGUAUAAACACGCAAUAUGUAUGUUGUAUAUAAAUCAUCUAUUGAGAAAAGUGGUACCAAAUAUGUAUAUUUAAAUUUUUACACUUCAGAUUUAGGAAUUCAGUUGUUACAUUGAACACUGGUUUCAGAAAUGCAUACCCAAGCUGUGUUUUUGUCUUUACUGAUUUGCUCUCUAUUUUUAUUUUCACAUUGUGGGUUUUUUUUGGGGGGGGGGUGGCUGUGGAAGGCUAAAAUUUUGUUUGGUCACAUUAUUCAAUGUGACCUUUAUAUCUGGAGAGGACAUAUAACCUGUUUAUAAUACUUUUAAAAUAUCUGAGUUAAUAAUAAGAAUGUUUUUACAUUGAAAGUAAUACUAACAGUGUUUACAUAACAUCCUGUAUGCACUCUCAAGAAAAUAAAGUUGUGUUAAUACAUUGUUGUAACUUGGUAAUUCAUGGUGGGGAAAUUGUGACGUUUCAUUUAUUUAUAUUAAGCCGAACUCAUGUACAAUUCUAAAUAUAUUAGUAUUUUCUAGUAAAAAAUAUAUACAUCUUUAAGAAAAGUAAAUUUCUUCCCUGGAGAAAUUAUUUGAACAUGCUGCUCAAGUUCUGAGGGGCAGAAAAAAAAAAUUUAUUUUUGAAAUUGAAACACAUUGAAAAUCAGAGCAUAUUAUAGUUAUUUAAAAUGAAGUUAAAUGAUACUAAUAUUAGCUUUUCUCACAUUAGUGAGAGUUUAGUAUUACCUGCCUUUAUAAAAUUGGGGUUUUAAGAUGUUAUCUUUAACUUAUUACCCACUUUUAUUUUUUUGCUACAAUAUAGAAACCGAUGGAGGUAAAGUUGCUUUCUAGCAAAUGGGCAUUUAGGGUCAUGUUCUUUGUAACAUACUACAUAAGUUUGAACAUUAGUCCAAGUUACUUUUUAGUGUUGUAUAAUAUUUGGGAAAUGAUACUUGUCUCUUUUCCUUGAAAUGCUUUCUUUACACUGCAUUCCAAACCUCAUCUUCACAUGCUUUAACAAAAUAAUAAGAGCAAAUUAUUUUAGGAGUAUUCACAAAGAGAUAAAUUAUCAGUAGUCUAAAUCUAUCUGCUGUGAUAUAAAACUGCUGCUUCCUAGUUUUAUGAAAGGAAACAUUUAAAAUAUCUAAUUUUAAUUGUAUACAAAUGACUUAAAUUCAGUUUUAUUUUUGUUUUAAGAAAUACAAAAUUAUUUUAACACUUGUAUUCUUCUCCUAAUCAGUCUCAGUGCUCUUUAUAGAAUCACUUUUUACAGUGAUCAAAAGGGUCACUCAGCACAAAAUUGCAAAAAGCUGUACAAUUUCACCAUAUUCCUUUAAGCCUCCCUUUCUCCUAUGGUUUCUGUAGUUUUUCGUGUAAUUGGGUGAUCGAUAUGACAACAUAUAAGCUACAAUAUUGUUAGAAGUAAUUUGUUUUGAAUUGAGCCACAUUGAUAAGAAAUAUUCCAACAGAAGGAUGUUUUUCUUGGUAGCUGAAGGAGAAAUGAAGAAGGUAAUGCUGCUGAUAAUAGCAACAAUGUAACCUGAUGUCUGUGAAAGUUGUAAUUCUUUAAUAAAAAUAUAUAGAGAAUUGAUUGCUUUUUAUUUUAAAAACUUCAAAAUAUGAAUUCUUCACUUGGUUUUUCUUUCCUUAUAAAUACUAGGUUGUGAACUAUAAAUUUCAGUUUUUCAAAAUAACCUUUCUUCUUGGAAAAUGGAGGUGAACUCAGGAUGGAUCAUGAGUGACCUAAAUUGAAAUAAAACUUUUCUGCUGUUGACACUGUUUAAUACUUUUACAUAGCAAUUUAAAUUACUGUAUUAUAAUGUUUUGUAUAUAUUUAAGAAUGAAUGUGAUUUUUAAAUGCAGGUAAAAAUAUUAUAUAGAUCAUGGUGAUUUAUUUUUUUAUACUUCAGUUUGCUGCCCUUCAAAAAAAAAUCUGUACUCUUAUAGAUCCAAACUUUUCCUGUUUGUAAUAAAUGUUGGUCCAUGUCUGUGUGAUUAUUCAGAUUUUACUCUAAAAUUCAAUAUGCUUUUUUUCUCCACAGUUUUUUAAAUGCAUAAAUAAAUGUAGAAUAGAAAUGUAAAACAACAGAAAGUACUUGCAAACACAACUGAGUGAUCAAAUAUCUGAAAGUUCUUUGAAAAACUAAAGUACUAUUUGAUAAGUAAAAGAAGUAUUUGUGUGUUCAUCAUUGCAAACAGUAAACUGUUUUAGGUUUUAUUAAAAUGUCUAAUUCCAUCCUUUUUCCCUGUCCAUAUCAUAG